Molecule: unclassified non-coding RNA, 253 nt
Filed under: uncultured Gammaproteobacteria bacterium
Lineage: Bacteria; Pseudomonadati; Pseudomonadota; Gammaproteobacteria
Description: contains 16S-23S intergenic spacer region
Rfam family: Bacterial small subunit ribosomal RNA
Source: RNAcentral
UACGUAGGGUGCGAGCGUUAAUCGGAAUUACUGGGCGUAAAGGGUGUGCAGGCGGCUGAGUAAGACAGAUGUGAAAUCCCCGAGCUUAACUCAGGAAUGGCAUAUGUGACUGCUCGACUAGAGUGUGUCAGAGGGAGGUGGAAUUCCACGUGUAGCGGUGAAAUGCGUAGAUAUGUGGAAGAACACCGAUGGCGAAGGCAGCCUCCUGGGACAUAACUGACGCUCAGGCACGAAAGCGUGGGGAGCAAACAGG